UAGGGAAUCUUCGGCAAUGGACGAAAGUCUGACCGAGCAACGCCGCGUGAGUGAAGAAGGUUUUCGGAUCGUAAAACUCUGUUGUUAGAGAAGAACAAGGACGUUAGUAACUGAACGUCCCCUGACGGUAUCUAACCAGAAAGCCACGGCUAACUACGUGCCAGCAGCCGCGGUAAUACGUAGGUGGCAAGCGUUGUCUGGAUUUAGUGGGCGUAAAGCGAGCGCAGGCGGUUUCUUAAGUCUGAUGUGAAAGCCCCCGGCUCAAUCGGGGAGGGGCAUUGGGAACUGGGAGACUUGAGUGCAGGAGAGGAGAGUGGAAGUCCAUGUGUAGCGGUAAAGUGCGUAGAUAGAUGGAGGAACACCAGUGGCGAAGGCGGCUCUCUGGUCUGUAACUGACGCUGAGGCUCGAAAGCGUGGGGAGCAAACAGG
This 429-nucleotide ribosomal RNA is filed under the name Gemmatimonadota bacterium. RNAcentral's name for it is "Gemmatimonadetes bacterium partial 16S ribosomal RNA". It matches the Rfam family "Bacterial small subunit ribosomal RNA", at positions 355 to 776 of the family's 1533-position model. The record is from RNAcentral. Lineage: Bacteria; Pseudomonadati; Gemmatimonadota.